UGAAGUGAAGAAUAAAGAAUAAAAUUUGAACUGUCGUAGAAACUAUUUUGACUUAUUAGUUUAUGAAUCUAACUAAAACCAUAAAUAUCACAAAAAAUAUUUAACAAAAAAAUCAACAAUUACAAAAUCAUUGAUGAAGAGAAGCAAAACAAGACUUUUCUUUCGAGUUUGCGCUGAAAACGAAGCAGCAGAUGGUCUAAAUAAUUGAGUCCUUCAGAGAAAGUAAACUGUAGACGCAUUUAUAACUUUUUGCGAUAAAGUUUUUCGAUGAGUGUGAUACGAUCUGUGUAGAAAUGUCCACGCAAAGAACAGUUUUUUGCAUUUUGUCUCUUUAUUCGCAUAUUGCGUCUGAGUAGUCCGGAUUUUGGUUGCGAUCGACGUUUCUGGGAAACAAGCAAGUCUGUUUACAAUAUUGUUCAACAUUUUAUAUUUUAAAAUUAAGUCUCCGCGUAUUGUUCUAGGGUGGUAACCUUCAGCCGUAGUAGUCUCUCCGCGUACAAUAAAUGUUUGAUUGCCGCAAUACUUUUCUUGCCUCGUUUCUGUACUUUUUCAUCUUUUGAAAUAGAUGACCAUGAUUGUACGGAAAGUUCUAGAAGAGGACGCAAUCGUUAAAGAGAGAGUACAUCAUAGGAAAGACUAUUCAAGCGGGUCAAGUAUACUGUUUGCGGUUGAAGCGGCAGUUUCUAUUUGAGAUCGAACGUUUAGGUUAUCUAAUUCAAGAAUUCCCAGAUCUUUUUCUGUGGUAGUUACCUCUAGUUGUUUACAAGUACCAUCAACAUUCAACAUUGAUUGUUACUAUUUUCAUUUAAUAAUUAUAUUACUAUUGGUAUUA
Hydra vulgaris (swiftwater hydra) is the source of this 832-nucleotide non-coding RNA. Lineage: Eukaryota; Metazoa; Cnidaria; Hydrozoa; Anthoathecata; Hydridae. The record is from RefSeq and is a predicted model, not a curated record.